Molecule: ribosomal RNA, 424 nt
Filed under: uncultured Glomeromycotina
Lineage: Eukaryota; Fungi; Glomeromycota
Description: SSU rRNA
Rfam family: Eukaryotic small subunit ribosomal RNA
Source: RNAcentral
AUGGUAUGUACUGGCUUUACUGAUUCCUCCUUCUUGAAGAACUGUAAUGUCAUUAAUUUGGUGUUGCAGGGAAACAGGACUGUUACUUUGAAAAAAUUAGAGUGUUUAAAGCAGGCUAACGCUUGAAUACAUUAGCAUGGAAUAAUGAAAUAGGACGUUUGAUCCUAUUUUGUUGGUUUCUAGGAUUGACGUAAUGAUUAAUAGGGAUAGUUGGGGGCAUUAGUAUUCAAUUGUCAGAGGUGAAAUUCUUGGAUUUAUUGAAGACUGACUACUGCGAAAGCAUUUGCCAAGGAUGUUUUCAUUAAUCAAGAACGAAAGUUAGGGGAUCGAAGACGAUCAGAUACCGUCGUAGUCUUAACCAUAAACUAUGCCGACUAGGGAUCGGAUGAUGUUAAUUUUUUAAUGACUCAUUCGCCCCCUUACG